This is an RNA transcript of Hevea brasiliensis (rubber tree), 1646 nucleotides long. It is a transcript of the gene named E3 ubiquitin-protein ligase SIS3, with no coding region annotated. The transcript is spliced from 11 exons. NCBI's taxonomy places the organism in Eukaryota, Viridiplantae, Streptophyta, Magnoliopsida, Malpighiales, Euphorbiaceae. The record is from RefSeq and is a predicted model, not a curated record.
CCGUCUGUUCUCCGGAGCACCUCACCAAUCUUUUCCUCUGCUUCUCUUCACUUUCUCUCUGCUUCACAGAAAAAGCAUCGUUCUCUCCGUAGCAUCUCUCUCUCUCUCUCUCUCUCUCUCUCUCUCUCUCUCUCUACUUUUCAAUCUCUAUUCAAGUAACUGCAUAAAACGAAACUCAUACAUGAAAGAUUCAGAUUCAUCUUGGGGCGUCGGAUUCCGAGCAUUGUCAUGUCAUGACUGAAACGCGAAUUCAGUUCUUGGUCUUUUAGGGUUUUCUGGUUAUGGCUAUCAGAGGCGUCGAUUUCAAGUGGUACGAUGGCUUCUUCUUGUCGAUGCUCGCCACAAGUGUAAUCAUUGUUGCAAUCAAUUGGAAACGGUAUCAUCUUUGUACAUACCCAUUGCACAUAUGGAUUGUGGUUGAUUAUACUACUGUUUUUGUUUUUCGCUUCUUGAUGUUCAUAGAUAAUGGACUUGCUGCUGGAAUGGGUUUGGAUUUUGGAUGGCAGCAGCGGUACGCUCGUUUUUGUGGAAGAAUAGUGGUCCUUUCAAUUCUUUCUUUGCUGCUUUACCCAUUCCUUUGGGCUUGGACUAUAAUUGGUACACUCUGGUUCGCUAGUGCAAGAAAUUGUUUGCCAGAAGAUGGUCAGAAAUGGGGUUUUAUUAUUUGGUUGCUUUUCAGCUACUGUGGACUCCUUUGCAUUGCUUGCAUGUCUAUGGGAAAGUGGCUUACACGAAGACAAGCACACCUAUUGCGUGCUCAGCAAGGAAUUCCUAUUUCAGAAUAUGGGGUUUUGGUUGACAUGAUUCGGGUACCGGAUUGGGCAUUUGAAGCUGCUGGUCAAGAAAUGAGAGGCAUGGGACAAGAUGCUGCAGCAUACCAUCCUGGACUUUAUCUAACUCCUACUCAAAGAGAAGCAGUGGAGGCACUCAUUCAGGAACUUCCAAAGUUCCGGCUAAAGGCUGUUCCAACUGAUUGCAGUGAAUGUCCCAUCUGCCUAGAAGAGUUCCGUGUAGGGAAUGAGGUUCGUGGCCUGCCUUGUGCACAUAAUUUCCAUGUAGAAUGCAUUGAUGAGUGGCUUCGACUGAAUGUGAAAUGUCCACGGUGCCGUUGCUCAGUUUUCCCCAACCUUGAUCUUAGUGCCUUAUCCAAUCUUCGCGCCGACUCUGAACGGCCCUCUGCCACUGUUGUAACAACCACCAGAUAUGUGAGAAGCCAACCUUCUAGCCAGAGUUACCUGUUGAGAUUGCAGGGUCUGCUCCGACCAGUCCGCACUGAGAAUGCAGGGGCUUCCAGUGAUGUAGAUGUUGAUCUGGAAGCUGUUGAGAAUGGAAAUGCAGUUUUGGCAACUGGAGAAGCAACAGGUGUGGAGCCAGCUUCCUCAAUUGGAUGCAUGCUUGUUGGUCAAUCCCCAUCUCAACACUAGUCUGUUAAUCAAUUUCUGACCUUGUGCUGAGAAAGGAUCCUUGUCAACGGCCAUUGCUUAGUGGUUGUACUGGUUCUUUCACGAUUGAGAAAACCCUCAGCGAUUCGGAGGGAUGACAGCGCCAAAUAUAUGGGGGAUGGGGCAAGCUGCUGCAACUGUGCCCCAUCUCAGCCCCUUUUGUUGCUUAGAUUUCUCAGCCAAGAAAUCCACCAAUUUCAGCUU